UAGGGAAUCUUCCACAAUGGACGCAAGUCUGAUGGAGCAACGCCGCGUGAGUGAAGAAGGUUUUCGGAUCGUAAAGCUCUGUUGUUGGUGAAGAAGGAUAGAGGCAGUAACUGGUCUUUAUUUGACGGUAAUCAACCAGAAAGUCACGGCUAACUACGUGCCAGCAGCCGCGGUAAUACGUAGGUGGCAAGCGUUGUCCGGAUUUAUUGGGCGUAAAGCGAGCGCAGGCGGAAUGAUAAGUCUGAUGUGAAAGCCCACGGCUCAACCGUGGAACUGCAUCGGAAACUGUCAUUCUUGAGUGCAGAAGAGGAGAGUGGAAUUCCAUGUGUAGCGGUGGAAUGCGUAGAUAUAUGGAAAAACACCAGUGGCGAAGGCGGCUCUCUGGUCUGCAACUGACGCUGAGGCUCGAAAGCAUGGGUAGCGAACAGG
RNAcentral lists this ribosomal RNA (429 nucleotides) under bacterium. RNAcentral's name for it is "partial 16S ribosomal RNA". It matches the Rfam family "Bacterial small subunit ribosomal RNA", at positions 355 to 776 of the family's 1533-position model. The record is from RNAcentral.